Dermacentor andersoni is the source of this 6660-nucleotide long non-coding RNA. RefSeq lists it as uncharacterized. NCBI's taxonomy places the organism in Eukaryota, Metazoa, Arthropoda, Arachnida, Ixodida, Ixodidae. The record is from RefSeq and is a predicted model, not a curated record.
UGUUCUUUGAAGGUCAUGAGCAUGCAUUUUCAAAGGCCUGAACGUCGGGGCAGCACUUUUGUUUCAACAUCUUCGUUUGCCUUGUAAAAUUUUAGUAAUAGCCCAACUUACGUAGUAAUACUAUAGACGGUUGCACACAACGUGUUUUCCAACUAAUGCCCAUUUCACGUGCCUCGAUAUUGCACUGCGCUUUCCGCAAGUGCGAACUUCGCAUUGCUAGUCGCUGCAGCAUUGCCGUUUCACAUAUGCAUCUGCGAUUUUCGAAUUUGCGAGCACCUUUCCUUGGCGUAGGCUUAUUCAGCCAGCUUCUGUGAAAGCAAAACAAACUAGGAACUUUAGUGUAACGUUUCUUGUGGUGUAAACAAGGCAGUUCGCAAUGUUUUCUGCACAUCCCCUCAAAAUCUUUCGCAGUUCAAUUUAGCGCCGACAGUUACAAUCUGAAACAAUCCAUAGUGCUCUUUUCAGAGACAUAAUUAAAACAUUGUCGAUAUUGUGGGGCUCUAAUAAUGCCACUGUGAGCACUGUUGGGUCAAGAGUAUAGUUGUGCGAAUAGUGAUUUUUGAGACCGAAUUGAAUACGAAUCAAAUAGUGCCAAAAUAGAAUCAAAUGUUUUUCAAAUAAUGAAUAGGCAUUAUCAUAAUUAUUAUAAAACGAUGUUGACAUCCCACUACUCUUAAAGUUAGCAAGCUUCCGUCGUUACACAGUGUGUUAUGAAGCAUUGCUUAUUAAAAGCAUAAAUGACGUAUUAGAAGCAAACAAUUAGUGUCGUCGCAUGCACAGUGCGAAUGAUCGCUGUACAGCCUGUAAAGCAUGGCUGCCUAAGCGACAUAUGUUCUUUCCUACAUUGCAAGUUCUCAUGUUUUAUGUUGAUACUAUUCCUGCGGGGGGCGAAUAUUUACCGUGCUUUUGCUGAAAUUUUAUGUUUAACUGGGUGUAUUCUACAUAUUGAAGUACUCAAAAAGUAUUAGAAGAAUGUUUGCAUUUACAAAUAUUGAUUAUUCGAUUCUUUAUUAGAGUGUUUUAAAUGUUUGCACAUCCCUAGUCAAGAGUAGAUCAAGUGCAAACAAGUGAAUAUGACUUCAAGAAAAAAGUAAAAAUCCUAAUCUCAAGCUUCCUGAAAACACGUAAUGUUCCCGUUCUGGCGAGCGUCGUUGUGUUGCUCUCUGGGGGAUGACCGAUUUGAUACCGUUGUCUUAUGUAGUGUCUACCAGAGUUUUAUUCACUACUUGCGCCUGCAUGCCUCGCAACUAAAAACAUAUUUUUCAAGUCUGAACAAUAUUACAAGUAAUGUUGCAUACAUUUUUUUCUCGCCAGGAACAUGUCCAUGGCCUGCUAUCUUUGCAGCACAUUGUUGCCUGUAAUCUGAAUUAUCUACUGCUUUAAAGUUAACCUUUAUUUGCGAACCAUUCUGGACUUCCAUGACAGUAGCUGGGUGCUGCUGUCAUGCCGAUUAGCUCAUACUUAAAAAUAGAAAACUGAAUUACAUGCCUGAUGGCAGAAUAAACCGUUGGUCUAGGGUACCGAGGUUCUAUCCACAGCAACCCGACGCCUCUAACCAUUGGGCCACAACUGCAUGUGCACUUUAUUGUACCAGUGCACACUAACUCUUUGACGUGAUCGUCACAUAGGUUACAGUGUGUAGCACGGGUGUGAGAAGAUGCACAUCUGCCAGUUUCUUUACACGACAGACGGAGGAAUGAAAUGGGCAAAUUUUUAACAUUUGAAUAACCGCUUCACAAAAGCGUUGCUUCACAUAGAUUCCAAGGUGUGUGUUAGACCUGUACAAUAUUUUUAAAAAAGCCCUUUGUUAAUUUUUGCUUUUGGAAAAGUCUCUCUGCUCUGAAAAGCAUCACCAGCCCACAAGGGAAGCAUUAUUCAGACACUCGGAUGCCAGAGCUACAUGUCUAAUCAAUGUAGUAUCCAUACAUAAGUAACCUUAUUUCACAAACACAUAGAUGUGUACUCAAGAGAAUUAUAUGUGUAAUAGGACUAGACAAAGAAGUACAUAAAACAUUAUUACAUAAAUUUUAUUGUCUUGCUGUUACCUGCACGGCUUAGAAGUUGCGAAUGUGGGAUGUGAUUGCAAAAUACAUUCAGUCCUUGUGUUGCAAUCGAAAUAUCUUCCAAACAUGUCAAUUUAUGGUGACAGCCUGAAUUGCAGUCCCAUUUUCUGAAGUGCCUCCCUGUUUACAAACAAAAGGGAAGAGAUGCAGCACCUUAUUCAAAACCAUAAUUUAAAAAAUGGUCUAUAAUAAUCGAGGUCUUCAUAGGUCAAAUUAUGCUUUGUCAAUCUUAUAUGGUUUUUCUUCAAUUUAGGGUUAAGCCAAACCUGACACUCAUUUCAGGCAUCAUGUCACACUGAUUUUUCAGGUACUGUAACUACAGCUGCCAGCUUGUGACCGCUGAAGUUAGGUUCACUUUAUCUGCACAUGUGUCAGGCAUUUAACGAACACGUCUUACACUGCAGCACAAGCAAGGUUCGCAGCCUAAAUAAAAUCCGCCACGUGCAAAAAUCUGUAAUUCGUUCGAAGCUUAAUUGCAUAAGUCAAAGUAGGAAAUAAUCUUACACCAUUGUGUAUUCCGUGCAUUCAGCUAGAUUAUUUUGUCACUUUGAGGACUAACGUAAAUGGAUAUGUUUUCCAAGGCAGUCUUUUUUAACUUUACAUCUACUGGCAUAUUAACAGGAACCAUUCUUUCCAGGACACCUCUUUGACUUCCUGUUAUCGAUCCUUCUGAACAAUCGACAGUGUGCCAAAAGAAAGGCGCAUGUUCUAAAUCACUGUGGACUCGUGCAGGGCACAACCAUUUGCGACAUCGUUUCUGGCCUCCCUUCCUUAUGUCAUAGGUCAAGCCCACACUUGCUAAAGUGAAUCAUAUUUUUUGGCAACUAGAAGUUGCUCUCUUUAAAGGCACUCUAUUCUUGUAACACAAAAGGUUUCCAUGCCUUCAAAGGGGUAGAAUGUGCAGAAUAUAGUGUUGUUUGUAAUUAUUGCAACAGAGAUAGUCACCUAUAGGUAAAUACUGAAAGAACCACUGGGAGAAAUACAAUGUAUUGGCCAAGUCUAGUUUAGUCUGAAUAGCAAUUUUGCUGGUUUGGUUUUCUCGCUCAAAGUUGACGUUUAGCAUUCCAGGACUAUACCUAUUCCAUUUCAACUCCAUUCUGAAAUCAUGGGCUCCCAUUCCAUCUGUCUGACUGGUGCCGUGAUUCCAUUCCCAUUUCAUUGCGAGUGUUUAAAAUGUGGAAUGAUUCAGGAAUCAAUACAAUUCCAAACAUGCCACUCUGCAACUCUGUUUUCUAUGUGUUAUGUGUGCGGGCAAAAAUACUUGUGUGCCAUGUUUCUUGUGCACAAAUAAAAAUGCAAGUGGGUCAAAAUAUAGGGUCUUCUACUUCAGUGUCUCCUAUAGCUUCUGUGUUGCUCUGGGAUGUUGAACUCGGGCCAUUUUAUCCAUGCAAAGAUUACCAAAGAGCAGCCUUGGGUGCCUCAGCACUGUUCGCUCCCAGCACUGUUCCCUCCAGCAUGAUAUGGUGUCGAGCCACCUUGGAAGUCAUUCAAACACCAUUGGAAGGUCGAGUAGUAUCAUUGGUAGAGCUAGAAUAUCUACAGUGGUACUACUUCUUAGUUCUAGAACAUAUGGAACUUUCCUGUUGUUAGUCCUUGGUGCUGCUGAGAACACUUUUGUGCUUUCUCUCACCUGCUGGGAUCACCACAAUGCCGCAGCAUCAUGGUAGAAUUGGCACUUCUCCGUGAGCCGGCCACAUUGGAAGAUUAUAAUCAAUAAUUAGCUGUCCUGCGAGGGAGCAAUUCAGGUUGCAUAUGAGAGUUAUUGGAUUGACAACAACUGAACAGAAAAGGAGAGACAUGAAAAUUUUGGGUCAAUGCUCCUUUGAGACCAGACAAAUGUUUUAUGCAGCCUCUUUCUGUGUAGAGCAAAAAUGCUUCAAUUUUGAUGCCGAGUUUCACAUGUUACAUGAUUGAAGGCACUUUCUGUCAUCUCGAGUUUCAUCACAGGCAGCUAACCUUUGUAAAUGUUCCAGAUGUAAAUGUAAAUAUGUAAAUGUAAUGUAAAUGUGCACAUUAGGAACUGAGGUUCACUCCCAGCAGCUUAGUGGUUAGUUAUCAAUGUCAGUAAUUAAUAGAUUUUGGUACAAUACAAUUAGUUAAAUGGUAAUAAAAAGGCUAAAUUGCAUUUAAUAUUUUCAGGGGAGUAAUUAAGAUAUGUGAGUAGCGGCCAGCAUUGCAGUACAUCAUGUUACUACAUAUGACUUGCACAUUUGCUUAAUUUGAUCACUUGAGCAAAAAAAAAAAAAAAAGCUGUCUCAUUCUUUACCAUUGCCAAGUGGGUAAGAAUUUUUACCUCCAACAGUAUGUAAUUAUUGUGAUUAAAAAUUAUUAAGCCUGCAGAUAGGUGGGGUUCACAUGUCAUAGAUGACAUAAUGGUGCUUUUUCUUGUAGUUAAAAGUUUUUUAUUUUUCUGUAUCUUAUACCACUCCCCCUCUGUAAUGUCCGUUCACCCUGAGGGUAUCAUAAAUAAAUAAAUAAAUAAAUAAAAGGUGCAUUUAAAAGCAGGGUAGUAGGGUGGCAGAACUGCACUGGUUUGUAGCUUGAAGCUUGAUUAGUCUUUUUUGUUCAAUGUGGCAAACGAGCAGACAGUGUGACAAGACGUAAUACAAAUAAAAGAGCACUUGUGUUUUGUUUAUACUUCUUGUCCCAACAUUUGCCACGUUGAGCAGAACAGGUAGCCAUAGAAUGAGUAGAACCGACCGAUAGUGAUGGCAGCAUUGCCAUGGAGAGGUACGGAUAUCAUGUGGGAGCAGUGUUAUUCUGUGCGACUGUUUUGCCUUACUCUUGCUUGUAUUCAUGGUUGCCAAAUUUCAGCAUUCUAGUCAUUUAUUGCCUCUCAAGUAAAUUUUUGUUUCUUCUUUUAAAUGUAUUGGUGGGAACCAAUGUAUUUGAUAAGCGGAAUUACAGCAAAUGUCCUUUCAAGACAACGCUGAUUGUGCCAACUAAAAAAUUUCACUAGGAAGGUCAGUGCAACACACGUACAUACACUUGUUGUCCAUUUGUGAUGGGAAGAUGCACUGUAGUCGAAUUAGUGUCAAGAAUAUAAAUGUACUUGUACAACUAAUGCAGAAAAAGUUUCCAUUGUCUUGAAGAGGAUUGGCAGUGGUGAAGAAUUUCUGUAGAAGUAAAAAUAGUUGAGAAAGGUUCAUUUCCACUAUAGGAAACUUGUGAGGUAAAAAGGGCAGAAACAUUUUUAUUGGAAGCGUGUUUACCACUGUUCUGUGUAGGUGCAAGUGGGGUCAAAAGAUUUAUUCUUCUCCAAAGAUGCUGGGCUACGUUUGCAAAUCAUUUGGCCUGUGAUGUAUCAAAGGGAACCACCUGUUUUGCUUUCCAUAAUACUCAGUAAGUGACCAUGCAAUACCUUUUAUGAAAGGUGUGGAACGUGUCGGUUAUUAAAAUGCAUCUGCUCAUGAAUAUUUGCCAAAACAUUCUUUUGAAUGUGCAUUUGAAUGUGAAUGUACAUGAAGUGCCUGCCAAACCACGGCAAUGGUCUUCCCUCUUUUUCCAUCAUUAGAACUUCACUUAAGUCUGUGUGCCAUGCACAUGUAGAACAGUGCCCUCCAUCAUUACACCUCAGGCUCAUGUUAUGCAACCUUCUGUUGCACGACCCAUCUGGAAAUCCAUAGUACCAGCGCAGUAGCUAAAUUAGGUGCAAGACACAUUGAGGCACAAUUCCCAGGACAGUCGCAGAGAAGACACUUGCCCAAAAGAAGCUUAAGCAGCCACCUUAUGUCAGAUUGGCAUUCUUUUUUCUUCCUCUUUAAUUUGAAGGAUUUGCUACGGGGCAUAAUGAGAAAGGGAAAUUGAAGUUUGUGGUCUUGCAACAUGCAGGAACUGCAACAAAGUCUCUGAAAAGUUUUCUGUCACCAACAGUUUUUUGUGGUUUUGUGGUACAUCCAGCUGCUUUAAACUGAUCUUUCUUAGCCUCUUCAGCCUGCUGGCACACAUACUAGGGCACAGCCAAGCCAGGUGUUGAGCAUCUGUUGUAGCUACUGGAGCUAGGCACUUGGGCCGCAUUCCUUUGUCGGCUCCCAUGCCAGUGUGACAGAUGGCGCCCGGGUUGCCCAAGCUGUAAAGCCCCCGGCUGAAGCCUCCAGAGAGAUGUUUCCUGUGCUUUGAAAAAGACCUGUGGACUUUAGUGACUUCUUCGACAGAGCCUUUUAUCAACGGCGUGUGAAGUGCAGGUCACUGUGUGGCAAGCUGGUCGUUCUAGCCACAGGCUCUGGCUCAUAUAAUCCAUCUGGCAGCUAGGCUUCGAUGAAUGGCCACCUGGCUGCCUUUCCAAGAAGCAUCAGGACACAGGCUAACUAUGGACGGAAGAAAGCCUUCCACGACAUUUUUACGCAUCAAAUUCGGUGACGUCAGUGGGUCCACCUCAGUGUGAGGAUGUAAGAGAGAACCAUCCAUCUGCUCAGUGGGCUUGGUGGCCCACUGAGCAAUUACAGACACAUGCUCAUAAAGUGCUUUAUUGUCAUACAGGUUAGUUAUAAAAAUUUAGUAUCAUCUGUAAAAGAUAAUGAUGUUACGCUAACGAUGCUACCAGGUCGACAGUUUCUUGUUGCUGCAGUAUGUGAUUUUUAUAAAGUCUUGAAGCAUU